Molecule: ribosomal RNA, 779 nt
Filed under: uncultured Neocallimastigales
Lineage: Eukaryota; Fungi; Neocallimastigomycota; Neocallimastigomycetes; Neocallimastigales
Description: partial large subunit ribosomal RNA
Rfam family: Eukaryotic large subunit ribosomal RNA
Source: RNAcentral
AGAGAGAGACAUGCGCGCAUAUCAAUAAGCGGAGGAAAAGAAACUAACAAGGAUUCCCUUAGUGACGGCGAGUGAAGCGGGAAGAGCUCAAAUUUGAAAUCUUCAAGGUUCUACCUUGACGAAUUGUAGUUUAUAAGAAGUGUUUUCUGUUAGUGGAGUUGGCUAAAAGUUCUUUGGAAUAGGACAUCAUAGAGGGUGAGAAUCCCGUAUUUGGUCAUUCCUCCUAGCGUUGUGAUACACUUUCAACGAGUCGGAUUGUUUGGGAAUGCAGUCCAAAAUGGGUGGUAAAUUUCAUCUAAAGCUAAAUAUUGGCGAGAGACCGAUAGCGAACAAGUACCGUGAGGGAAAGAUGAAAAGAACUUUGAAAAGAGAGUUAAACAGUACGUGAAAUUGUCAAAAGGGAAGCGUUUGACACCAGUGUUGUUUUUCCGAAAAUCAAUUACGAAUGUUUUGUUUUUGAGGAGUUAUGACUUCAUCAGCUUGCUUCUUUCUUUACGAAACUUUCUUAAUGCACUUUUCGGUUAACAAGUCAACAUCAAUUUCUUUUGUUGUAAAAGGGUACUGAGGAAGGUGGCUUUCUUUUCGGAGAAAGUGUUUAUAGCCUUGUGACUUCUGCAAUCAGAGAGAUUGAGGUCUGCAGCGUAGAUCCUUCGGGGUUAGAUACAUUUGUGCUAAGUUAUAGCUUUUCAUAGACAACUUGUUGACUAUGUUUAGUCUUGUAGCUUACUCGCUUAUGCUAUUUUACCUACGCUUAGGAUGUUGAUCUGUAGUGCGUGCGC